This is a long non-coding RNA of Bos indicus x Bos taurus (hybrid cattle), 568 nucleotides long. NCBI's taxonomy places the organism in Eukaryota, Metazoa, Chordata, Mammalia, Artiodactyla, Bovidae. The record is from Ensembl.
CAUAGGAGAAGCCUCAAACUCAAGUCUUGGAAAGAGGCUCUGAACUUCUUCAGGUCUUCAUCACCAUGAACUUCCAAGAAUGUACCUCUUCCGUGUCUCCAAGCAUCCUGCAAGGUCUUCCAAGGUAGAGCUUAUCCCUAUACCCAAGGGAUAAAGGGACAGACUUCUUAAUUUGGCCAUGAGAGGGCAGCUCAGCUCACCCCAGAGGUUGCAGAUACCCUUCCUCUAGGGUUGUUGGAAUCCACUCUUACACCGCCUGAAUCACUCCAGGGCUCCUGACCCACGGAUGGCCUAGAAUUGGGGCAGGCCUCCUAGGGCCACUCCAGCCAGAGGCAGGGCUCAGCCAGGUUCCACACCAGCCUGGCUCCCUGUCCCCAGGUACUGGCUGAGGCCUCUGAGAAGGAUGCUGUUUCCUGUUGUUUUGCUGCCAAAAGGAGCCAGGAUGUUCCCCUGCCGCCCCCCGGGAACUGGGUGCUGCGAGUGUCCACUCUGUGCCAGGCAGCUGGAUGCAUAGGUCUAAGCACAGAGGUAGGUAAAAGUAGCCUGGAGUAAGCAGAGUGAUGCCCUG